UAGAGUUUGAUCCUGGCUCAGGAUGACGCUAGCGACAGGCUUACACAUGCAAGUCGAGGGGCAGCAUAAAAGUAGCAAUACUUUGGUGGCGACCGGCGCACGGGUGAGUAACGCGUAUGCAACCUACCUAUCAGAGGGGAAUAACCCGGCGAAAGUCGGACUAAUACCGCAUAAAACAGGGGCACCGCAUGGUGAUAUUUGUUAAAGAAAUUCGCUGAUAGAUGGGCAUGCGUUCCAUUAGGUAGUUGGUGAGGUAACGGCUCACCAAGCCGACGAUGGAUAGGGGAACUGAGAGGUUGGUCCCCCACACUGGUACUGAGACACGGACCAGACUCCUACGGGAGGCAGCAGUGAGGAAUAUUGGUCAAUGGGCGGGAGCCUGAACCAGCCAAGUCGCGUGAAGGAAGAAGGAUCUAUGGUUCGUAAACUUCUUUUGCAGGGGAUAAAGUGCAGACGUGUCCUGUUUUGUAUGUACCCUGAGAAUAUGAUCGGCUACUCCGUGCCAGCAGCGCG
Molecule: ribosomal RNA, 513 nt
Filed under: uncultured bacterium
Lineage: Bacteria
Description: bacterial SSU rRNA
Rfam family: Bacterial small subunit ribosomal RNA
Source: RNAcentral